This 741-nucleotide long non-coding RNA is filed under the name Heterocephalus glaber (naked mole-rat). RNAcentral's name for it is "lncRNA (ENSHGLG00000031248.2)". The record is from RNAcentral. Lineage: Eukaryota; Metazoa; Chordata; Mammalia; Rodentia; Bathyergidae.
GGUAAAUGUGCAACCACGCUGCUUCCUCAGUGCUCCAAACAGAGAGAAUUCUUAUGCAAAUUUAAGAAUCUGCCCUUGUGGAGAGGAGCGAUCUCCUUUUACAACUGUCUGGGAUUUGUAUGGAGGUGGAAUUCGGCAGUUACAGAAAACCAGUAGGAGCCUUCUGAGCUCACAGAACCUCCAGAACAUCAGCUGGAAGUGCAGUGGCUGCAUCUGGAGACCCUGUGCCCCAGUCCUCGGGCUGAGCUUUGAAGAAGAGACCUCCAGCAGCACUGGUGAGUACAGAGAUGGCCACGGAGACAGAAAUGAAAGCGGCAGAGCACCGCGAGGGCACAGCCGAGGCUUGUGGAGACAGCGCUCCAACUCUCCAGACAGCACAUCCUAUACACACCAAGUUUUUAACAAGUUGCGGAGCAAGACUUCUUUUUUUCUUUUUUCGUUAAGAACCAAGUAACUUUAUAUUGGAAGCAACAGUGCAACAAAGAAGGGACAUGAAAGCAGUGAUGGAGGAGCGCGUGGCCUGCCUGGAGACCAGGGGGAGCCCUGGGCCCGGCCCGGGACAGUCCACGCUCAGUUCUCCUUGCCCCCAUCGUGCAGGCUGAGCUUGCUGAAGAGGAGGUUGACCAGGCCCUCGCUCCGGGUCCCCAGACUGUGCAGGUUGGUCAGGUAGUCGCUCAACUCCUUCAGCAACCGGGCCUGCGGCUGCAGGCAGUUGCGCACCACCAAGUGGCACGGGCUGGG